UUUUGUACAAUAAGAGAUGAGGUGUAAAGGUGUUUCGUGUUCAACAGAGGUACAGCUUAAUUAUUAUUGAGUGAGUGCUCAGAGAAGGUGAAAAGCCUGUGUGGUUGUGCUAACCUGUUGAACCGUGACACUGAAGAGUCUAGUUGUUUGAGAGUACAACUUAAAGCUGGUGGUAAAUUUCAUCAAAGGCUAAAUAUAUGAGGGGACUAAUAGCGAACAAGUACCAUGAGGGAAAGUUGAAAAGAACUCUGACGAGAGAGUUCAACAGUACGUGAAACCAUAUUGAGUAAAACAGAUAACUGUGUUGUUAUGUGGUGUGCCUAUCAACAGUCUAUUUGGUGUUGUGAUGCUAUGAGUGUAGGUUGUCUAUUCAGCUGAUUGCUCGUGGUUAGCAUAGCCAGAGAUUCUGUGCACUAGUGCACACUCAAUCAUUGAGAAACUAUGCUGCUGCGGCAUCGGCGUGCAUCAGUCCGUACCUAGUACACAGUUGCAUGCUGGGCGUUAGCUAGCUGGCGUAGUUUAGCUGUGUGACAGCUGUGGGUUGCGUUUAUCAAAGGUAGCUGCUUUAUCUGCGAAUCGGUUUAUUCCUUUUUGCGGUGAGUAUGUUGCUGUAGGUAAGCGGCUCGCCAUCAAUGGUUAACAUUAGUUAUUUGACCCGUCUUGAAACACGGACCAAGGAGUUCAAAUGSCACGCGAGUCAUUGGGUUUUGACACCCGAAGGCGAAGUGAAAUGCAAACGUAUUGUUAUUUGUGGUUGUUCCAUGAUUAAGCGAUAAGCUACUCAUGCUUUCUGGCAUUUGUAGACUACAAGCGUGAUGUUUGAGACCCGAAAGAUGGUGACCUAUGCCUAGUCAAGAUGAAGCCAGAGGAAACUCUGGUGGAUGUCUGAAGUUAUUCUGACGUGCAAAUCGAUAAUCUGAUCUGGGUAUAGGGGCGAAAGACUAAUCGAACCAUCUAGUAGCUGGUUCCUUCCGAAGUUUCCCUCAGGAUAGCAAGCGUACACCUUUAGUUUCAUCCCGUAAAGCGAAUGAUUAGAGGUAUUGGGGCGUAUAUAGCCUCAACCUAUUCUCAAACUUUUAAUGGGUGUGAGUGUUCUUUCUCAAUUGAAGAACGCUGCUAAAUAAGUAUGCUUAGUGGGCCAUUUUUGGUAAGCAGAACUGGCGCUGUGGGUUGAACCAAUUGUUGAGUUAAAGUGCCUAAAGCUGGAAUGCGCAUGAGAUCUAUAAAGGGUGUUAGUUGCUGAAGACAGCAGG
RNAcentral lists this ribosomal RNA (1253 nucleotides) under Gaeolaelaps aculeifer. RNAcentral describes it as "eukaryotic LSU rRNA". It matches the Rfam family "Eukaryotic large subunit ribosomal RNA", at positions 127 to 1244 of the family's 3401-position model. Lineage: Eukaryota; Metazoa; Arthropoda; Arachnida; Mesostigmata; Laelapidae. The record is from RNAcentral.